This 6625-nucleotide long non-coding RNA is filed under the name Sus scrofa (pig). Its description in RNAcentral is "lncRNA (ENSSSCG00050015782.1)". The record is from RNAcentral. Lineage: Eukaryota; Metazoa; Chordata; Mammalia; Artiodactyla; Suidae.
UUUUUUUUUUUUUUUCCAGCUGUAUCAGUUCCCUAGAAAAACAAAAUCCCCACAGCAUUUGUCUGCCAUUUUUAAGCCACUGGCAGAAAAACGGAGGCCCCGCGAUGGCUCCCCCCCUCGGGAUGCUCCCCGCCUGCAUCCUCAUCUGAGUCCGUGCGAGUCCUCCUCCAUCACACGUCUUCUCUGCUCUUUUCUUCCCUCUGACCACACCCGUUAGCUCAGGGGCUACGCUGCCACGAGCCACAGACUCUGCAGAUCUCAAGAGUCAGAAUCAUGGAAUUCCCCACCCGAUCAUUUUAUUGGGGGAAAAAAGAAAAAAAUGAAAAGUAAAUUAAGUACAGCUCACAUUUUCCACACCCUCUGUUGACGCUAGAUUUGGGCCAAUUCGUCCUACCAUGGGUUCUGCGUGUCGAAUAAUAAACUGAAGGGUUCAUUACUGUUGGCUGAUAGCGUGUCGUUUCGAGGGGGUCCAUUUUUCUCAGCUCGGCUCAAAUCACUCUGGCGAGUUUAAUCUGGGCCAACAGUUGUGCUAUUUACUGCUGGAAUUUCUGUAUCUUAAGAGCACCCUGGGAAUUUAGCUUAGUGGCUCCAAGAUUGACUUACAGCUUGAAACCAGGUGGAAGUGGAUGCAUGGAACAUAUACACAAGGACAGGCUGCACAACUCUCUCCCUUCUCGGAGUGUUCCCAGAGGCACGGGGAUUGAUUUCUGGUUUUCAGGCUGUGCGGAAGUGGCUGUUUGAAUCUAGAGAGGUAGAGCGCUGCUCACGCCAGCAGUGGAGUGCUGUGUUGGCGGAGGAGUGGGGGCUGGGCCCUGUGAUUUGCCGGUCCUGUGAUCUUGGGUGGAUUCCUUGAUCUUUCUGAGCUUUCUUUUCCUCAUUUGCAAAGUGAGGUUCAGGACUCCUACCUCGGAACAUCGUUCUGGGGGCGGGGUGCGGUGAGCUCCUGGGAAAGGUUGCGACUGUCUCUGUCUCUGUUCCAAGGGAGCUCCACCCCCCUCUCCAGCCAGACCCCUCUCUUGUGUUUUCUUUCUUACGAUGCGUCUUCAACGCUCGAGCUUGGGAAUUGUGAGGGAACUCAGAGUAAUCAUGACCCCAAACCUUACGAGGCGGCAUCAUGAUGAACAAAGCUUCUUCACAAAUUGGACUCAUCCUAUUCUUCCGAAAGUCUUCAGAAGAAAUUGUUAUUAUUUCCGUAUUUGGAAAAUGAAACCGGGAGCUUCCAUCGUGGCGAGGCGGAAAUGAAUCCGACUAGGAAGCAUGAGGUUGUGGAUGCGAUCCCUGAACCUCGCUCAGUGGGUUAAGGAUCUGGUGUUGCCGUGAGCUGUGGUGUAGGUCGCAGAUGCAGCUCGGAUCCUGCCUUGCGGUGGCUGUGGUGUAGGCUGGCAGCUGUAGCUCCGAUUACACCCCUAGCCUGGGAACCUCCAUACACCAUGGGUAUGGCCAUAAAAACAAAACAAAACAAAAAAAGAAAACAGAAAAUGAAAUCACAUCACACUGUUGGAAGCAGCAAAGCAGGGAUCUGCUAAUUAUAAAUGUGCUGGCGAAGACGUGAUGACUGGCUCUCUCUUUCCUUUCCGUCCUUACUCUCUUUUCCAGGGCAUGUACUUCCUCAUCGAAUAGCAGCAAGUGGGAUUCUGCCGGGAGCCUGCUUCCUGGGUCCCCCAGGCCGAGUCUGAGGAUUGGAGCGAAGGGAAUUGAGAAGAAGCAGGAGCACACACUCUGGCAGUCUUGACAAAGUAGAACUACUUCAGGAUUGGAGGUCACGUAAAGAAAGAGAGUCACAGAUGUCUUCCAGGUUAAAUUUUAGUUAAAUGAUGCCUUAUUAAAAAAAAAAAAAUUAACAGGGCGUUCCAGACGUGGCUCAGUGGAAACAAAUCUGACUAGUAGCAUCCAUGAAGAUGCAGGUUUGAUCCCUGACCUUGCUCAGUGGGUUAAGGAUCCAGCGUUGCUGUGAGCUCUGGUGUAGGUUGCAGACGCAGCUCAGAUCUGGCAUUGCUGUGGCUGUGGCAUAGGCUGGUGGCUACAGCUCCGAUUCGACCUCUAGCCUGGGAACCUCCAUAUGCAGCAGGUGUGGCCCUAAAAGACAGAAAAAAGUUUCAAAAAAUUAACAAAAGGCAAAUGUAUUAGCAUCUACCAUCCUGGAUCUUCUGAAGAGGGUGAGGUGAUACUCUGUGUCCUAAAUGUGAUUCUGGGAUGUGGCUGUGGGGUAGAAAUAAGAACUUCUAACGUUUGAAUAGAACCCUGUAAUUCAGAGGGACCAUCCAUCUACCGAAUCUCGUUUAAUUCCUACAAAUUCCCGGUGACAUAGUGAGGCAGAGAUUAUUGAUGCCGUUCCUACAGGAAAACCCUGAGGCAAAACGCACUUCUUGGCUGAGAAUAGGCAGCUUAUGCACAAGCUGCGCAUGUCCACGCCUGGCCCUGGGCCCCUUGACCUCAUCAGCCUGGGUACACACCAUCGUCUCAUUGACGCUGCUUUUUCCUUCGAGCUCUCGUCUCCUCCACGGUCUCAAGGAAACAGAUGCUGCAGGUCUUCAUGAGCAUGGCUUGGGCUCAUAUUUUCCCCCUUCAGUGAAAUCCCCACAAAGAGUCUCAACCCUGGGCCUGGUCUUUGUUUAAUUUUUUCCUGUGCAUAAAAGAAUGGAUUAUGUUAUGUUCACUGAUUGAAAAAUCCAACACUGUGAACAAUUCCGGUCUUCCCUAAAGUGAUCUACAGGGUCAAGAGAAUCCCAACCAUGGGACAAACUGUUUAUAAAAAUGUGCAAAUUCAAAGGACCAAGACAGCCGAGGCCAUCUUGAAGAAAAACAAAAUUACUCAACCUACACUACCUGAUAUCAGGACCUAAUUACAAAGUUAUACUAAUGAAAAGAAUGCAGUAUUGGUCAGAGGAUGUAUAAGCAGACCAGGGGAAGAGAAUGGAGAACCAGAAACAGACUAAUGCAUCUAUUAUCCCGCAUUAGCCUGUAUACACACACACAUACCACAUCUUCUUAACCAUUCAUCAGUUGGUGGACCCGUAGGUUGCUUCCAUAUCUGAGCAAUUGGAAAUAAUGUUCAAGGUGGGGGAGGGGCAAGGGACUCUACCUGCUGAUGGGGGAGUAGCAAGGUCCCCCAUCAGCUUAAAAAAGAGCACAUGGGCAUCUAAAAUACUGCACGGGUGAACCUAGCUAGAACAGAAACAGACUCACAGACAUAGACAGCAGACUUGAGCCUGCCAAGAGAGAAGGGGUGUGAGCGGUGGACUGGGAGUUUGGGGUUCGUAGAUGCAAACUAUUCCAUUUAGAAUGGAUGAGCAAUGAGGCCCUGCUGUCCAGCACAGGGAACUAUAUCCAGUGUCUCGUGAUGGAACAUGAUGGAAGAUAGCAUGAGAAAAAGAAUGCAUUCAUAUGUAUGACUGGGUCACUCUGCUGUACAGCAGACAUUGGCAGGACAUUGUAAACCAAUUAUACUUUAAUAAUUUUUUUUUAAAGAGCAUGUGGGAUGGUAGAUAAUACUGCGUCCUCUUAGGACCAAAACUGCCACACUAGCUUUUACCGUCCUACGGUCCAGGUCACCCCACAAAUCACCUCAUUUGGCAUUUUUUACAUGGCAGGAAGCAUUCUUACUUGGAGGGUUCCUAUCAUAUGUGCUGAGUUCUGUGCUGACUCCCUUCAUGUAGAGUUUCUCAAUUACUGUGACUUAGAUUUUCAAACUAAUUUUCUCCAGACUUAGUCUCUGGGUUCAUUUGAACCGUCUGCAGGAUGCAGGACUCCCUGGCAGGUGGGACCCGUCUGGCUGUCCUUCAUAAGCAGGGAUGACCCUAAACGUCUCUUUAUCUCUGGAGAUCCAGGUGAUGGACUUACAUUCCCACAGGGGCUCACUUCACACUCUCAUUCACUCGGCUCCCCUGGAGGAUGGAGGCUUAUCUCUUUAGCGAUGCUUUUAUGACUGAAAAGAAAUCAUUUCUAUGCCUCGGGGUACCCACUUAAAACACCUACAGACAGAAGAUAUUAGAGGGGCAGCUCCUCGGCAAGACCUGCCUAUUCAGCUGUAAAACACCCUCCAGAGCUAUUCAGAAAUUGCAGACAGUGGUGGUGGCCUCAUGAUGUCUGUGCAAGAACAGAUGACAGAUGCACCCAGAGGCUUAAGGGCAUCUGUGCUGAAGAGCAGCCCAGGCGGGACUGCCCUGUCUUACCCCUUCUGAAAACGCUUGACUGUGAUGAGUCAAGAGUAAAACAAAAAGCCAUGUGCACCAGAGCAACUCUGCUGCAGUCAAACAGCAGAUGUGGAAACAUCUCUGCCGUCCAAGGAUCACCAAAAGUUAGAGAAAAGAAAUGUCCCCUGAGGCAAGGGGAACAUUCUAGAACCUUCUACAUCUCAGGAAGACUUCAGGGAGGUCAGGGGAAAGGUCUGGAGACACCCCUUCUCUCCAAGAGGUGCAACUUGCUAAGAAACACCUCUGAAAACUUGAACCACUUUAGGAGUAGUCCAGUUAUUUUAAACCACUAUUCUUCAACUGAGGACACAGAGGCCCAAGGACAGAGGUGACUGGACCAGCAUCAGCGCCCUGGCCUGUGGCAGAGUCUGCAACCAGUUUUCCUAAUCUCCAGUUCAAAUCUCUUUCCAAACACCAGCUUCCCCACCCCUCCAAAUUCUGACGUUUCUGCCUGAUAAACGUCACCUUGUGACACUGAAAUAGGGAAACAGACGCUCUGGCUGGCUUGGGGCUUAGGUUAGAGGGUGAAAGGGGGUGAUGGGUAACCAAGGGGGCUGCACAGGGUUAGGGGCUCCUCAAGAGUUCUGAGGCAGGCUCAGGCUGGGAGGUAUGGGACAGGGGGUGUCUAACUGCCCCUCCCCCACUGAGGGGACAGGGAACUGCUCUCCAGCAAGGGCGCCUGUAUCGCCUGGUGGGGAGGGUGCCGCCACGGUCGGGCCUCUGGAGACACCCAACUUCCUUAUCCCCAGAACCUGGUCUCCCAGCAAAUGGAGACAGAAAGCCAGGAAGUCCAGUGGACAGCGAGGUCCUGGCUGGAUCCAUCUGUGGAAACAUGGCGAAACAGGAAGAGGAAGCGGGAGCCUGGGCCCUGGGGACAGUUUUGCAGAAAAGGAUUGUCCUUAAUUUGAGAUUACAGCACACCUCCUUUGUGUCCCCUAGAAUCUGCGAGUGGAUGGGUUUGUGCAGCAUGAAAAAAAAUGUAUGGCUGAGAGCAGAAUGGCCCUAGCCUGUCUGUUUGGGACUGUGGGUUGGCAGAAGACCAAGAGAUGCAAGGCAGGGCUGCGUCCUCUGCGUCAGGGUCUGGGGUGGGGGUGGGGUGGCUUGGGGGAAGGAAAGAGGAAGAGGAACCCAAGGAGCAUCAGCUUUGGGCAUGGCCUGAGGGCUUUUGAGCGAACACAGUCCAAUAGUCUUCGAUGCCUGGAAACCUGGACCACAAUCGUCUUCUGGAUCCUAAAUAUUCAGUCAGAUCUGUGCCGAACCCACCAGCCUUGUUGGGGGUGGGAGGGGAGUGGAUGCAAGGGGAAGGGGUGGAGCUCUCUUGGAAACCACUGGGGCCGGGGAGACAGCCCCCAACAUGCUCCUUUCAGUGGAGGCAGCGCUCCUGGGAGUCGCCCACCACUUGAAGAGCUCAUUGCCAGGAAGGAGGGUUGAGUCAAUGGUGCCUCCACCUAAGGGUCCAGGGCCCCCAUUGCCACACUCGUUGAUUAGAAGCCUGGUCUGGUUUAUGGUAAUGAGGCUCAGGAACCUUCUACCAGUCAGGACAGAGCCCCAAGGUCCACGGCCCUCUUUGCAGAGCCGGCAUUUAGCCAGGACAAGUCCUGGCUGGAUAAACACUCAUUGCACCAAAAAGCAGGAAUUCUUUUUUUUUUUUUUUUUUUCGUUUUAGCACCACACCUGUGCCAUAUGGAAGUUCCCAGGCUAGGGGCUGAGUCAGAGCUUCAGCUGCUGGCCUGUACCACAGGCACAGCCGCAUGGAAUCGAAGACUCAGCUGUGACCAACACCAAAGCUUGAGGCAAUGGUGGAUACUUAACCCACUGAGAGGGACCAGGGAUUGAACCCGCAUCCUCAGGGAUACUAGUCAGGUUCAUCAGUGCUGAGCCACAAUGGAAACUCCCCCCGAAGCAGGAAUUCUGUAUCUACUAUUUCUCAGCAGAACCUCACAGCUGGUGUAUCCUCCCCAUUCCUCUCUCUCUUUUUCAUCCUACCCCCUCCCCAUUAGAGAAAUUUUCUUUCAAAUAGCUUCUGAACUUCAACCUUCUCUCCAAAGCCUCUGUAUCUGUUAGGAAUGAGUUUGUAUGCAAAUAACAAAAACACCUAAGAGUGGCCUAAACCAGCGGGGUGGAGUUUCUCCCAGAGCAGGAUGCCUGGACAGCACACCGGGGCCAGGGCAGCUCACCCAUGUCAUUGAAGCUCUUUCCGUUUCACCUCCUUAGUAUACUGGUUUGCUGGGUCACAGUCACAAGAGGGCUGCCCCAGCACCAGCCAUCAAGACCACGCGUGAGUUAGAGGGGGAGGUGUCAUGUUCGUCCCUUUCAUCAGGAAAGUGGAAGUUUUUCCAGAAGUAACUCCAGACCCCAGCAUUACAGUUACAUCUUUGUGGCAACGCGUGCUCACGCAAGGCACUGCUAAAUCAAUCCCCUUCAUUUCUGCG